CAGGUACUGUUGUAUUGUUGGACAGUGGGUUACAUCGUCAUUCAUUGAAGGUAAGUCUUUGGCUAUGAUUAAUAAUGACGACAAAUCCAUGGUAUUCAUGUACGAAAAGAAAUUUAGAGAGCGCAUACACUAAAUAAAAUGUGUCGCGGACGUAAUGUCAAGAAAAACAAUUAACAACUCCCUAAAAAUAGAUGAACCCGAAUUGUAAGAUUCCAACACUACAACAAUUGUAUUACGAUGUUUUUUUCACUCGAGACAGUUAAAUGUGAAUAAUUAAGUGCAGGGAUUGCAGCAUAAAUAAUUAAAAUUGAACUGUUGAGACUGUAGAAAUAUCGUUACCCACAAUAUAUAGUAAUAAAAUCUGUUUCUAGAAUGAUUUGCAGCCUUCCUUUUCAAAUAUUUUCUGCAAAUUGUGUUCUUUAUAUGUGACGUCAUCAAGCAUAGGUCGCCAUUUCUAUGACAUCACAACAGGAAAUUAUAAAAAAAAAGUCCAGUCAAAGCUGAAGGCAGUUUUCAAACGAAAAUAUCAACAUCUAUGUAAACGACAGACAUAGAUCUUGAUAUUUUUGUUUGAACACUGCUCUCAUCUUUCUUUGACUUUGAUUCAUGAUCCAAAAAAUUGAAUUCUUGUUUGCACAUUAUUAUUUGUUUCCUCGGUUAUGUUUAAUGAUUUCUUGAUCAUCGUCUUUUAAAUGUAAAGAAGCAAAAUAUCAUGCAUAUUCAUAACAAGAACAAAUCACCCUGCAAUGCUAUGUAUCAAUCACGUAUUGCGAAAAUAUAUAAAAAAAAACAUUCAGCAAAACACUAAGGAUGUUCGCUUGUCGUGUUUUGGAAUUUUUGUCAGAUUUUCGAAAUCCUCUUGUUUUAUUCACUUGAAUGCCUUAUACAUUUUUGCCCAUUGAUCCCAUGUUUCUUUUUAUAAAUCUUUAACAUGUUUAAUUAUAAGUCAUCUGUUAAAGUUGUAUAAAAUCUUUGUUUUUUUAUUAGUUUUCUCGAGCUUAUGCUUGCCUAUGAUAAAGCUAGGAAAAAUCAAGAGAGAACAUUUUCCCGUCAAAACUUCAAUGGCUAAUAUUUCGAAAACAAGCACAUUGACUUACAUAUUUUUUUCGCUCAUUUUGUUCCUUUAUUAAUACCCCAUCAAUAUAUACUAGUGUUAUAAAAAGGUUUUUUAUUUUGAAACUGAGAAGCGAAUUCCCUCAACAUAAGAAGAAAAGAUUCAGUAACACGAAUCCAAUCAAAACACCGGGAAUUACUUAAGGUCCACCGGAAACGAAAGCUGUACAACAUCCACUUUAAACACAAUAUUUAUGAAUGAGAAUUCUGGUUGUUGCCAUAUUCCCCUAGAAUCACUAUGUGUUUAAUAGAAAUUGUACUUUUUUUCCAGUAUGACAAACGACAAAGGCUACAACCGAAAACCGCAUCUUAAGACCUCAAUCUGUAUAUUAUAGGAUUGAAACGAUAUUUGAACGUAUACAAAUUAUAAUAUUUAUUUGUACAAUCGUAUGAAUUUAAUCAUCAUCCUAAUCAAUCUUUAUUUUAACUUUACAUGUCAUGGAUAGCUGCAAGCAUUCUAUUUUACGCUGUUGUAGGAAGUACAGUUUUACUACCACGGCCAUAGCAAGACAACAUGAAGUUCGCAUUGUUGAUGCUGGUAUUUCUUGUCAUAGCUACAAGUAUUAACUAAUGAGUAACUGCAUGUAAGAUUCAGUGCUUGAUCCAGUAUCGUGUUCAAUUAACAAUUUUAAGUACUGGUUU
This 1755-nucleotide long non-coding RNA is filed under the name Mytilus galloprovincialis (Mediterranean mussel). Lineage: Eukaryota; Metazoa; Mollusca; Bivalvia; Mytilida; Mytilidae. The record is from RNAcentral.